Molecule: ribosomal RNA, 253 nt
Filed under: uncultured bacterium
Lineage: Bacteria
Description: partial 16S ribosomal RNA
Rfam family: Bacterial small subunit ribosomal RNA
Source: RNAcentral
UACAGAGGUCUCAAGCGUUGUUCGGAUUCAUUGGGCGUAAAGGGUGCGUAGGCGGCGCGGUAAGUCGGGUGUGAAAUCUCGGAGCUUAACUCCGAAACUGCAUUCGAUACUGCCGUGCUUGAGGACUGGAGAGGAGACUGGAAUUCCUGGUGUAGCGGUGAAAUGCGCAGAUAUCAGGAGGAACACCGGUGGCGAAGGCGGGUCUCUGGGCCGAAACUGACGCUGAGGAGCGAAAGCGUGGGGAGCAAACAGG